CCUACGGGCGGCAGCAGUGGGGAAUAUUGGGCAAUGGGCGCAAGCCUGACCCAGCAACGCCGCGUGAAGGAAGAAGGCCCUCGGGUUGUAAACUUCUUUUAUUCGGGACGAAACAAAUGACGGUACCGAAUUAAUAAGCUACGGCUAACUACGUGCCAGCAGCUGCGGUAAUAAGUAGGUGGCAAACGUUAUCCGGAUUUACUGGGUGUAAAGGGCGUGGAGGCGGGAGAGCAAGGCAGACGGGAAAUUCCAGGGGUCAACCCUGGAACUGCGUUUGAUACUGGUCUUCUUGAGUGAUGGAGAGGCAGGCGGAAUUCCGUGUGAAGCGGUGAAAUGCGUAGAUAUACGGAGGAACACCAGUGGCGAAGGCGGCCUGCUGGACAUUAACUGACGCUGAGGCGCGAAAGCGUGGGGAGCAAACAGGAUUAGAUACCCCAGUAGUC
RNAcentral lists this ribosomal RNA (443 nucleotides) under uncultured bacterium. Its description in RNAcentral is "partial 16S ribosomal RNA". It matches the Rfam family "Bacterial small subunit ribosomal RNA", at positions 338 to 795 of the family's 1533-position model. The record is from RNAcentral.